This 522-nucleotide transfer RNA is filed under the name Phormidesmis priestleyi TM4LUS131. Its description in RNAcentral is "partial 16S-23S ribosomal RNA intergenic spacer". The stretch from base 241 to 313 matches the Rfam family "tRNA". The record is from RNAcentral. Lineage: Bacteria; Bacillati; Cyanobacteriota; Cyanophyceae; Leptolyngbyales; Leptolyngbyaceae.
UAGGGAGACCUACCCGUUUUUUCUUGACUACCCAGGGUUUGAAUUAGCUUCAGUUAAUUGAACAUUGGGUCAUCAGAGAAAAAGCCGGUCAUCCCAAGGUCGUUGAGGAUUUGAGUGUUGACUUCCAAGCUAUGUAAGAUUGGUUCGGGUUAUGGGCUAUUAGCUCAGGUGGUUAGAGCGCACCCCUGAUAAGGGUGAGGUCCCUGGUUCGAGUCCAGGAUGGCCCACCUUUACAAAUGAGGGGGUUUAGCUCAGUUGGUAGAGCGCCUGCUUUGCAAGCAGGAUGUCAACGGUUCGAGUCCGUUAACCUCCACUGAAAGCUGAGAGCUUUCCUUGAACAACCGAACAGAAUUCAAUUUCAGCAACUUAUCUAAUUCAUAGAAAGCCUGCUGGAAUCAUUCCAGUUAGAACCUUGAAAACUGCAUAGAAACUUGUCAGGUAGAAAGUAGAGCGCUUUCUGAUGAUUCACUCACAAGGUGAAUUACAGAAAGACGCGACAGAUAUCACAGACACCAAUGUUGA